RNAcentral lists this unclassified non-coding RNA (212 nucleotides) under soil metagenome. RNAcentral describes it as "partial contains 5.8S ribosomal RNA, internal transcribed spacer 2, and large subunit ribosomal RNA". The record is from RNAcentral.
AACAAGGCGUACCUGCGGACCUGCGGAAGGAUCAUUACAAGUGACCCCGGUCUAACCACCGGGAUGUUCAUAACCCUUUGUUGUCCGACUCUGUUGCCUCCGGGGCGACCCUGCCUUCGGGCGGGGGCUCCGGGUGGACACUUCAAACUCUUGCGUAACUUUGCAGUCUGAGUAAACUUAAUUAAUAAAUUAAAACUUUUAGCAAUGGAUCU